Molecule: ribosomal RNA, 468 nt
Filed under: uncultured bacterium
Lineage: Bacteria
Description: partial 16S ribosomal RNA
Rfam family: Bacterial small subunit ribosomal RNA
Source: RNAcentral
GACGAACGCUGGCGGCGUGCUUAACACAUGCAAGUCGAACGGAAAGGCCCUGCUUUUGUGGGGUGCUCGAGUGGCGAACGGGUGAGUAACACGUGAGUAACCUGCCCUUGACUUUGGGAUAACUUCAGGAAACCGGGGCUAAUACCGGAUAGGAGCUCCUGCUGCAUGGUGGGGGUUGGAAAGUUUCGGCGGUUGGGGAUGGACUCGCGGCUUAUCAGCUUGUUGGUGGGGUAGUGGCUUACCAAGGCUUUGACGGGUAGCCGGCCUGAGAGGGUGACCGGCCACAUUGAGACUGAGAUACGGCCCAGACUCCUACGGGAGGCAGCAGUGGGGAAUAUUGCACAAUGGGCGGAAGCCUGAUGCAGCAACGCCGCGUGCGGGAUGACGGCCUUCGGGUUGUAAACCGCUUUCGCCUGUGACGAAGCGUGAGUGACGGUAAUGGGUAAAGAAGCACCGGCUAACUACGUG